Chrysemys picta bellii (western painted turtle) is the source of this 2142-nucleotide long non-coding RNA. Lineage: Eukaryota; Metazoa; Chordata; Testudines; Emydidae. The record is from Ensembl.
CCUUCAUGCAUAUUCAACACGUAAUUCACCUGCUACGCCUAUACAAGGAUGGAUGAUUUAACUUCAGAUAGUUCUGGUUUAUUAAGACUCAGCCCAGUUCUGCAGACUUUACUCCAGCUGAGUAAUGCUCAUUUCCGCCACUAUUCCACUUGUUUUAAUGAGAUUACUGGUGGAGUAAGGGACUAUUCGAUGUGAGUAAAAUUGGCAGAAUCAGGAUCAGAUUAAGGCAAUCCCCAGACUCACCACCACAUGGGCUCCCUUUAGUCCGAUCCCUGCCAUAGCCUUGAUCUUCACACCAUCGCACCACGUGGGAUGCUGGCAGCCAGGAGCAUCCACAAAUGCAAUCUUCUGGGUGGUAGGGGUCUGCCACCAUUUCCUUUUGAGUAGUCUGGGCCACACCUGAUCUCUUCCCUACUCCUUGUCUCCAGGUGAUCUUGGGUCCAUCCAGGAGAAGAAAGGACUCAUCCUCCUCCCACCCGAGUGCAGAAUUCCCUAUAUACCCAGCACCACCCAAACAAAACCAGGAUGGGAUGGCAGCAGAAAGAGACCUCUACUGCGGUGGCAGGGUGGUGUAGGUGUGCUCCUCCUAAUCAACCCAUAUGCAGGAACCCCAGCUCCAAGGAGAUAGUAACUCUCCCAACCAUUUCUAUGCUAAGGGGUGAGAAAGAAAGUGACAGUUCAAAAGGAGAAAAUCUUAAGCAGACUUCAUGCCUGACACAUCCUACUACACUUUGCAAAAAUUACCAUAACUACCUCCAAUAAUUACAGGCUAUAUUCUACACAAAUGUAUAAAGCAACAUGAAGAUAUCCCGAUUUCCAUGACACCUGUCUCUUCAUUAGCAGCAAGAAUCUUCUAUAUAACUGCCAAUAAUCCUGGAGAAACUAGAAGGGCUAUAUGGUAUGAAUGUGUCAUUUACACAGUUAUCAUUUGCUCAAGGAAGAAUUAAAUCAAUUUGUGAAAGCCAUGAUGUUAUAGGCUCAUAUACAUACAUCUGAAAGGUAUAAAAGUCUUAGGGAUGUAGUCUUAUUUUGGAUAUUUUGUCUGAGCUCACAUCACUGCACAUUGUAUUGUAAACACAGCUACAGCACAAAUAUACACCAUGGGAGUAAAAAGCAAUUUUAGAAGAUAGCUGAUGACAUUAUACCUUGUAUGAGAUCAUAAUUAAACCAUUAGUUUGACCAGAUGAUCCAGUAUUGCUAUGAGAAAUGAGAUUAGAGUCUGAUGUAAUCCAUUCAAGUGGAAAGAGUUUGUUAAACUGAUUGCAGUAAAAUAAGAUUUUUUUUUUCUGGGCUGUUUUUCUGUUGAGUUGGACAUAUGGAUUUCAGGAGACAGAUGUGGCUAAAAAUUCUGAUCACUGUAUCUAUGGGCCAGAUCUGCAAAGAUGGGAACUGUUGGGAAAUUGGCCCUACAAAUUUAAUUUAGUUGUGAGAUCAAUAUGGAAGUGCAUAAAAUGUUAAAAUAACCUAUAAUAACAAAUGUUUACAGAAUGUUAUAAACAGAUGCAAAAGAACCAAACAGAAAGACUAAAUUAGUCCAAACAAAAAGGCCAAGUUGAAUAAUUUAAGGACUAUGUUGAAAUCAUGCUUGGUAAAAACAGAAAAUGUGGAACCAGAAAUUAAUUAACCAAAGUGUGUUGGAUAUUAGGCCAAACUGGUGGACAAAAUAAUGAGGGGAUGAGCUAUUCCACCCUCCAUUCCCUUUGUGGUUCCUUAAGAAAGAACAGAUGGAGGAGAAAUACAUAUGGAGGCUACUGGAAUAAGUUUCACCAAUAUGGCUGCUACUCCAACUGCCUCCUGAGACCCCAGGGCCCAAAGAGAGGGACUCAAAUAACAUCGCCACCUCUACCAGCUCCAGCUGAAUCCCAACUACCACCUGAGGUGAGAUAGGAUUGAACUUUAACAGCAACAGCUCUAGCCCAUCUCAACUAACUUCUCUUUUCCCCAAAAGGACAAUUACCAUCUUUGGUACCAUUUAAGAGACUGGAGGGUUUUCUUCCUAAAACUCUCUCCAGCUAAAGGGAAAUGGAACAAGAAGUGUUCUUAAAAUGAAAACCUUAUGUUACAUUUCAAAUACUUUAAUGGUUUUCCCUUAGUUUCUGUAUCUUUAAUAAAAGGUUAAAAGGGAUUUUUAGUGGUGUGUUA